RNAcentral lists this ribosomal RNA (516 nucleotides) under Petasospora fabianii. RNAcentral's name for it is "eukaryotic LSU rRNA". The stretch from base 128 to 281 matches the Rfam family "5.8S ribosomal RNA". The record is from RNAcentral. Lineage: Eukaryota; Fungi; Ascomycota; Saccharomycetes; Phaffomycetales; Wickerhamomycetaceae.
UUUUUUCUAACAUUGCUUUGCGUGGAAUAAGCCUAGCUUUUCUGCGCAGAGGUUAUCAAAACACAAGAUUUUUAUAUCUUUUAUUACAAAUUCUAGUCAAGAAGUUUUAUUAAAAACAAAUCUUCAAAACUUUCAACAACGGAUCUCUUGGUUCUCGCAACGAUGAAGAACGCAGCGAAAUGCGAUACGUAAUGUGAAUUGCAGGUUUUCGUGAAUCAUCGAAUCUUUGAACGCAUAUUGCGCCCUUCGGUAUUCCGAAGGGCAUGCCUGUUUGAGCGUCAUUUCUCUCUCAAACCUUCGGGUUUGGUAUUGAGUGAUACUCUCUUUCUGGGUUAACUUGAAAUACUGUGGCAAGAGCUGCUUUGCAGGAUCUCCUCUGAACUAACGUUUCUAGGUUCUACCAAUUCGUUAUGGACAGUGUGUGCUGAACGCAUGGCUUUUGGGCUCGGCCUAACAAUUUCUUCAUAAGUUUGACCUCAAAUCAGGUAGGAUUACCCGCUGAACUUAAGCAUAUCA